RNAcentral lists this ribosomal RNA (225 nucleotides) under Pomadasys perotaei (parrot grunt). RNAcentral's name for it is "partial 28S ribosomal RNA". Lineage: Eukaryota; Metazoa; Chordata; Actinopteri; Lutjaniformes; Haemulidae. The record is from RNAcentral.
GUGACGAUACCAUAGCGCCGCGGAUSUUCGGUUGGCCCCGGAURACCGGCUUCGGUCGGUGAGUAGAGCCGUUCGUGACAGGGCUGGGGUGCGGCCGGAUGAUGGUCGCCCCUCUCCUAUCUCGCACCGCAUGUUUGUGGAGAACCUGGUGCUAAAUCACUUGCAGACGACCUGAUUCUGGGUCAGGGUUUCGUACGUAGCAGAGCAGCUCCCUCGCUGCGAUCU